RNAcentral lists this ribosomal RNA (331 nucleotides) under uncultured Actinomycetes bacterium. Its description in RNAcentral is "bacterial SSU rRNA". It matches the Rfam family "Bacterial small subunit ribosomal RNA", at positions 28 to 351 of the family's 1533-position model. The record is from RNAcentral. Lineage: Bacteria; Bacillati; Actinomycetota; Actinomycetes.
GACAAACGCUGGCGGCGUGCCUAACACAUGCAAGUCGAGCGCGAAAGGGACCUUCGGGUCCCCUGAGAGCGGCGAACGGGUGAGUAACACGUGGGCAACCUGCCUCAAGGACUGGGAUAACUCCGGGAAACCGGGGCUAAUACCGGACGAUGUCGUCUCGUGCAAGCGAGCCGACCAAAUGGUAGCUUCGGCCUCCGCCUUGAGAUGGGCCCGCGUCCUAUCAGCUUGUUGGUGAGGUAACGGCUCACCAAGGCUACGACGGGUAGCUGGUCUGAGAGGAUGAUCAGCCACACUGGGACUGAGAUACGGCCCAGACUCCUACGGGAGGCAG